AACGAACGCUGGCGGCAUGCCUAACACAUGCAAGUCGAACGAGACCUUCGGGUCUAGUGGCGCACGGGUGCGUAACGCGUGGGAACCUGCCCUUAGGUUCGGAAUAACUCAGAGAAAUUUGAGCUAAUACCGGAUAAUGUCUUCGGACCAAAGAUUUAUCGCCUUUGGAUGGGCCCGCGUAGGAUUAGCUUGUUGGUGGGGUAAUGGCCUACCAAGGCGACGAUCCUUAGCUGGUCUGAGAGGAUGAUCAGCCACACUGGGACUGAGACACGGCCCAGACUCCUACGGGAGGCAGCAGUGGGGAAUAUUGGACAAAGGGCGAAAGCCUGAUCCAGCAAUGCCGCGUGAGUGAUGAAGGCCUUAGGGUUGUAAAGCUCUUUUACCAGGGAUGAUAAUGACAGUACCUGGAGAAUAAGCUCCGGCUAACUCCGUG
This 433-nucleotide ribosomal RNA is filed under the name uncultured bacterium. RNAcentral's name for it is "partial 16S ribosomal RNA". It matches the Rfam family "Bacterial small subunit ribosomal RNA", at positions 29 to 507 of the family's 1533-position model. The record is from RNAcentral.